Molecule: unclassified non-coding RNA, 353 nt
Filed under: soil metagenome
Description: partial contains 5.8S ribosomal RNA, internal transcribed spacer 2, and large subunit ribosomal RNA
Rfam family: 5.8S ribosomal RNA (bases 1-120)
Source: RNAcentral
GAUGAAAAACGUAGCGAAAUGCGAUAAGUAAUGUGAAUUGCAGAAUUCAGUGAAUCAUCGAAUCUUUGAACGCACAUUGCGCCCGCCAGUAUUCUGGCGGGCAUGCCUGUUCGAGCGUCAUUACAACCCUCAGGCCCCCGGGCCUGGCGUUGGGGAUCGGCGGAAGCCCCCUGCGGGCACAACGCCGUCCCCCAAAUACAGUGGCGGUCCCGCCGCAGCUUCCAUUGCGUAGUAGCUAACACCUCGCAACUGGAGAGCGGCGCGGCCACGCCGUAAAACACCCAACUUCUGAAUGUUGACCUCGAAUCAGGUAGGAAUACCCGCUGAACUUAAGCAUAUCAAUAAGCGGAGGA